Molecule: ribosomal RNA, 492 nt
Filed under: uncultured bacterium
Lineage: Bacteria
Description: partial 16S ribosomal RNA
Rfam family: Bacterial small subunit ribosomal RNA
Source: RNAcentral
AUUGAACGCUGGCGGCAUGCUUUACACAUGCAAGUCGAACGGUAACAGGCCUUCGGGUGCUGACGAGUGGCGAACGGGUGAGUAAUGCAUCGGAACGUGCCCAGAGGUGGGGGAUAACGCAGCGAAAGCUGUGCUAAUACCGCAUGUGAUCUGAGGAUGAAAGCGGGGGACCAGGCAGCAAUGUUUGGCCUCGCGCCUUUGGAGCGGCCGAUGUCAGAGUAGGUAGUUGGUGGGGUAAAGGCCUACCAAGCCGACGAUCUGUAGCUGGUCUGAGAGGACGACCAGCCUCACUGGGACUGAGACACGGCCCAGACUCCUACGGGAGGCAGCAGUGGGGAAUUUUGGACAAUGGGCGCAAGCCUGAUCCAGCAAUGCCGCGUGCGGGAAGAAGGCCUUCGGGUUGUAAACCGCUUUUGUACGGAACGAAAAGGCUCUGGCUAAUACCUGGGGCUGAUGACGGUACCGUAAGAAUAAGCACCGGCUAACUACGUG